GGCUCCAAUAGUGUAUAUUAAAGUUUCUGUAGUUAAAAGCUCGUAGUUUGAUGUCUGGUGGGAGCAAUCAGUAUGGUAAUUUGUGUCGUGGCUUGCAUUGUCUCUGACCAUACUUGGAAAGAAUCAGUCUGGCAUUAGGUUGUCAGGCUGAAGAUUUCCAUCUUUUACUGUGAAAACAUUAGAAUGUUCAAAGCAGGAUUAAGCCGUUGAAUAUAUUAGCAUGGAAUAAUGAUAUAGGACUUUGAUACUAUUUUGUUGGUUUACGUGCCAUAGUAAUGAAUAAUAGGGACAAUUGGGGAUAUUUGUAUUCCAAUGCUAGAGGUGAAAUUCUUUGAUUUUUGGAAGACAAACUACUGUGAAAACAUUUACAAAGGAUGUUUUCA
RNAcentral lists this ribosomal RNA (383 nucleotides) under uncultured eukaryote. RNAcentral describes it as "SSU rRNA". It matches the Rfam family "Eukaryotic small subunit ribosomal RNA", at positions 587 to 972 of the family's 1831-position model. The record is from RNAcentral.